RNAcentral lists this ribosomal RNA (391 nucleotides) under uncultured Gammaproteobacteria bacterium. RNAcentral describes it as "bacterial SSU rRNA". It matches the Rfam family "Bacterial small subunit ribosomal RNA", at positions 370 to 779 of the family's 1533-position model. The record is from RNAcentral. Lineage: Bacteria; Pseudomonadati; Pseudomonadota; Gammaproteobacteria.
AAUGGGGGCAACCCUGAUCCAGCCAUGCCGCGUGAGUGAUGAAGGCCUUAGGGUCGUAAAGCUCUUUCAGCUGGGAAGAUAAUGACGGUACCAGCAGAAGAAGCCCCGGCUAACUCCGUGCCAGCAGCCGCGGUAAUACGGAGGGGGCUAGCGUUGUUCGGAAUUACUGGGCGUAAAGCGCGCGUAGGCGGGCUGUUAAGUCGGGGUGAAAUCCCGGGGCUCAACCCCGGAACUGCCUCCGAUACUGGCAGCCUAGAGAUCGAGAGAGGCGAGUGGAAUACCGAGUGUAGAGGUGAAAUUCGUAGAUAUUCGGUGGAACACCAGUGGCGAAGGCGGCUCGCUGGCUCGAUACUGACGCUGAGGUGCGAAAGCGUGGGGAGCAAACAGGAUU